RNAcentral lists this ribosomal RNA (466 nucleotides) under uncultured bacterium. Its description in RNAcentral is "partial 16S ribosomal RNA". It matches the Rfam family "Bacterial small subunit ribosomal RNA", at positions 28 to 507 of the family's 1533-position model. The record is from RNAcentral.
GACGAACGCUGGCGGCGUGCUUAACACAUGCAAGUCGAACGGAAAGGCCCUGCUUGCAGGGUACUCGAGUGGCGAACGGGUGAGUAACACGUGGGUGAUCUGCCCUACACUUCGGGAUAAGCUUGGGAAACUGGGUCUAAUACCGGAUAGGAGCCAUCUUUAGUGUGGUGGUUGGAAAGUUUUUUCGGUGUAGGAUGAGCUCGCGGCCUAUCAGCUUGUUGGUGGGGUAAUGGCCUACCAAGGCGGCGACGGGUAGCCGGCCUGAGAGGGUGUACGGCCACAUUGGGACUGAGAUACGGCCCAGACUCCUACGGGAGGCAGCAGUGGGGAAUAUUGCACAAUGGGCGCAAGCCUGAUGCAGCGACGCCGCGUGGGGGAUGAAGGCCUUCGGGUUGUAAACUCCUUUCGCUAGGGACGAAGCUUUGUUGUGACGGUACCUAGAUAAGAAGCACCGGCUAACUACGUG